RNAcentral lists this ribosomal RNA (660 nucleotides) under Pseudomonas fluorescens. Its description in RNAcentral is "bacterial SSU rRNA". It matches the Rfam family "Bacterial small subunit ribosomal RNA", at positions 471 to 1134 of the family's 1533-position model. Lineage: Bacteria; Pseudomonadati; Pseudomonadota; Gammaproteobacteria; Pseudomonadales; Pseudomonadaceae. The record is from RNAcentral.
GACGUUAUCGACAGAAUAAGCACCGGCUAACUUUGUGACAGCAGCCGCGGUAAUACAGAGGGUGCAAGCGUUAAUCGGAAUUACUGGGCGUAAAGCGCGCGUAGGUGGUUCGUUAAGUUGGAUGUGAAAGCCCCGGGCUCAACCUGGGAACUGCAUCCAAAACUGCGAGCUAGAGUACGGUAGAGGGUGGUGGAAUUUCCUGUGUAGCGGUGAAAUGCGUAGAUAUAGGAAGGAACACCAGUGGCGAAGGCGACCACCUGGACUGAUACUGACACUGAGGUGCGAAAGCGUGGGGAGCAAACAGGUUAGAUACCCUGGUAGUCCACGCCGUAAACGAUGUCAACUAGCCGUUGGAAUCCUUGAGAUUUUAGUGGCGCAGCUAACGCAUUAAGUUGACCGCCUGGGGAGUACGGCCGCAAGGUUAAAACUCAAAUGAAUUGACGGGGGCCCGCACAAGCGGUGGAGCAUGUGGUUUAAUUCGAAGCAACGCGAAGAACCUUACCAGGCCUUGACAUGCAGAGAACUUUCCGAGAUGGAUUGGUGCCUUCGGGAACUCUGACACAGGUGCUGCAUGGCUGUCGUCAGCUCGUGUCGUGAGUGUUGGGUUAAGUCCCGUAACGAGCGCAACCCUUGUCCUUAGUUACCAGCACGUUAUGGUGC